CUCCCGCUGCCCUCGUGCGCUGUUUGCUUUCCGAUCAUCGCUGUUGCGAUCCAUUGCCUUCCUUUUUUGCUUGGAGUUUUUCUCCGCUGCAGUCGAGGCUAAGUUCGGCUCCCGUGGGAGCCCGAACGGAGAAUCCCUCUUGAAGUUGUGGGCGAAGCCCAGCUCUCGUAGGAGUCAGGGCGAAGUCUUCCUGCAAUCAAGAUUAAAGGCGAAGUCCAGAUCCCGUAGGAGUCCGGACAAGGCCUAUCGACAGUUGCUGUUGUCAGCGGAGCCCGGCUCCCGUAGGAGUCCGGGCGGGGUUGUCCUGAUGUCGGCGAUGGAGCCCGGCUCCUGUAGGAGUCUGGGUGAAGUUUUCCUGGGCGUC
RNAcentral lists this long non-coding RNA (364 nucleotides) under Elaeis guineensis (African oil palm). RNAcentral's name for it is "long non-coding RNA (EGUI_LNC081786)". Lineage: Eukaryota; Viridiplantae; Streptophyta; Magnoliopsida; Arecales; Arecaceae. The record is from RNAcentral.